AAAGAAAUGCCAAUAAACCAGAGCACGUUUUUCUCCCAUCCCAGAAUGCUGUCUGGCUAUGCGAGACUAAACUUGAUGAAUUAUUCAUAAUGUUGUCUGAGCUGGUGAUCUCUACACUGCUUUAAUGAAGGACACUUCACAGCAUAGUAUCAUUAUUAUGUUGUUCACAUAAUGCAGUAUCUCAUGGUCAAACUGUGAUACUGCAGUACUGUACUGCAUAACUAACAACUCUUACCUGCAGAUGGAGUUGUGGCAGGCUGCAAGUAUCCAUGGAACGCUUCUGUUUUGUUAAUGCACACAUGAUGGAAGUUAGAAGCAGUUUAUUUAUUAAUCGGUUGCUGCUAUUCAGCAAGUAUUUGUGUCACAAAAUGGCUUUUCUAUCAACAAUCCUUCAUAUUGAUCAUUGUUUUCUAAAUGAAUGUAUCUUUUCCUAAA
This is a long non-coding RNA of Perca fluviatilis (European perch), 435 nucleotides long. RefSeq lists it as uncharacterized. Lineage: Eukaryota; Metazoa; Chordata; Actinopteri; Perciformes; Percidae. The transcript is spliced from 2 exons. The record is from RefSeq and is a predicted model, not a curated record.